CGGGGUGAGUAACGCGUGAGCAAUCUGCCUUCGGAUGGGGGAUAACAGCCGGAAACGGCUGCUAAUACCGCAUAACACAAGGGAUUCGCAUGUUUCCCUUGUCAAAGAUUUAUCGUCCGAAGAUGAGCUCGCGUCUGAUUAGCUAGUUGGCGGGGUAACGGCCCACCAAGGCGACGAUCAGUAGCCGGACUGAGAGGUUGAACGGCCACAUUGGGACUGAGACACGGCCCAGACUCCUACGGAAGGCAGCAG
Molecule: ribosomal RNA, 252 nt
Filed under: uncultured bacterium
Lineage: Bacteria
Description: partial 16S ribosomal RNA
Rfam family: Bacterial small subunit ribosomal RNA
Source: RNAcentral